UACAGAGGUCUCAAGCGUUGUUCGGAUUCAUUGGGCGUAAAGGGUGCGUAGGCGGCGCGGUAAGUCGGGUGUGAAAUCUUGGAGCUUAACUCCGAAACUGCAUUCGAUACUGCCGUGCUUGAGGACUGGAGAGGAGACUGGAAUUUACGGUGUAGCAGUGAAAUGCGUAGAGAUCGUAAGGAAGACCAGUGGCGAAGGCGGGUCUCUGGAAAGUUCCUGACACUGAGGCACGAAGGCCAGGGGAGCAAACGGG
Molecule: ribosomal RNA, 253 nt
Filed under: uncultured bacterium
Lineage: Bacteria
Description: partial 16S ribosomal RNA
Rfam family: Bacterial small subunit ribosomal RNA
Source: RNAcentral